Molecule: ribosomal RNA, 394 nt
Filed under: uncultured bacterium
Lineage: Bacteria
Description: partial 16S ribosomal RNA
Rfam family: Bacterial small subunit ribosomal RNA
Source: RNAcentral
AUACGUAUGGGGCAGGCGUUAUCCGGAAUUAUUGGGCGUAAAGAGUGCGUAGGUGGUUACCUAAGCGCAAGGUUUAAUCUUGAGGCUCAACCUCAUUCUGCCUUGCGAACUGGGCUACUUGAGUGCUGGAGGGGAAAGCGGAAUUCCCAGUGUAGCGGUGAAAUGCGUAGAUAUUGGGAAGAACACCGGAGGCGAAGGCGGCUUUCUGGACAGUAACUGACACUGAGGCACGAAAGCGUGGGGAGCAAACAGGAUUAGAUACCCUGGGAGUCCACGCCGUAAACGAUGAGCACUAGUUGUUGGUCCCGAAUGGGGUCAGUGACGCAGUUAACGCAAUAAGUGCUCCGCCUGGGGAGUACGGUGGCAACACUAAAACUCAAAGAAAUUGACGGGG